RNAcentral lists this ribosomal RNA (453 nucleotides) under Triticum aestivum (bread wheat). Its description in RNAcentral is "partial small subunit ribosomal RNA". The record is from RNAcentral. Lineage: Eukaryota; Viridiplantae; Streptophyta; Magnoliopsida; Poales; Poaceae.
AUGCUGAUCAGAGGGUGGUCGCCGCAGGUGCUUAUCCUGAACCACGCCGUGGUGGGCGGCUUCGUGACGCACUGUGGAUGGAACUCGACACUGGAGGCCAUCGCGGCCGGGCUGCCGGUCAUGACAUGGCCGCACUUCUCGGACCAGUUCUUGAAUGAGAAGCUAGCUGUGGAGGUGCUCGGAAUUGGUGUGAGCGUCGGGAUCAAGGAGCCGUUGAUGUGGGUGGCGAAGAAGAAGAUCGUGGUGGGGAGAGAGGUGGUGGAGGCCACCGUCAGGAGCAUCAUGGACGGGGGAGGAAAGGGAAAGGAGAGAAGGAGGAAAGCACUGUCUCUCUCCGAGAAGGCAAGGACGGCCGUGCAAAAGGGCGGGUCAUCACUUGGCAACCUGCUAGAUCUGAUCAAGCAUUUCGAGGUGGACGCGGGAGGUUGCCCGGCCGUGCAGAAGGACGCGUAA